GGGUUGUUAGCUCAGUUGGUAGAGCAGCGGACUCUUAAUCCGUUGGUCGAGAGUUCGAGCCUCUCACAACCCACCA
Molecule: transfer RNA, 76 nt
Filed under: Haemophilus haemolyticus
Lineage: Bacteria; Pseudomonadati; Pseudomonadota; Gammaproteobacteria; Pasteurellales; Pasteurellaceae
Also listed under: 7 other names
Description: tRNA-Lys
Rfam family: tRNA
About the family: Transfer RNA (tRNA) molecules are approximately 80 nucleotides in length. Their secondary structure includes four short double-helical elements and three loops (D, anti-codon, and T loops).
Source: RNAcentral